This 843-nucleotide ribosomal RNA is filed under the name uncultured bacterium. RNAcentral's name for it is "bacterial SSU rRNA". It matches the Rfam family "Bacterial small subunit ribosomal RNA", at positions 1 to 835 of the family's 1533-position model. The record is from RNAcentral.
GGAUCCAGACUUUGAUCCUGGCUCAGGAUGAACGCUAGCUACAGGCUUAACACAUGCAAGUCGAGGGGCAGCAUGAACUUAGCUUGCUAAGUUUGAUGGCGACCGGCGCACGGGUGAGUAACACGUAUCCAACCUGCCGAUGACUCGGGGAUAGCCUUUCGAAAGAAAGAUUAAUACCCGAUGGCAUAGUUCUUCCGCAUGGUAGAACUAUUAAAGAAUUUCGGUCAUCGAUGGGGAUGCGUUCCAUUAGGUUGUUGGCGGGGUAACGGCCCACCAAGCCUUCGAUGGAUAGGGGUUCUGAGAGGAAGGUCCCCCACAUUGGAACUGAGACACGGUCCAAACUCCUACGGGAGGCAGCAGUGAGGAAUAUUGGUCAAUGGACGAGAGUCUGAACCAGCCAAGUAGCGUGAAGGAUGACUGCCCUAUGGGUUGUAAACUUCUUUUAUACGGGAAUAAAGUGAGGCACGUGUGCCUUUUUGUAUGUACCGUAUGAAUAAGGAUCGGCUAACUCCGUGCCAGCAGCCGCGGUAAUACGGAGGAUCCGAGCGUUAUCCGGAUUUAUUGGGUUUAAAGGGAGCGUAGGCGGACGCUUAAGUCAGUUGUGUAAGUUUGCGGCUCAACCGUAAAAUUGCAGUUGAUACUGGGUGUCUUGAGUACAGUAGAGGCAGGCGGAAUUCGUGGUGUAGCGGUGAAAUGCUUAGAUAUCACGAAGAACUCCGAUUGCGAAGGCAGCCUGCUGGACUGUAACUGACGCUGAUGCUCGAAAGUGUGGGUAUCAAACAGGAUUAGAUACCCUGGUAGUCCACACGGUAAACGAUGAAUACUCGCUGUUUGCGAUAUACA